GGAGUGAACGCUGGCGGUAGGCCUAACACAUGCAAGUCGAACGGCAGCACAGUGGUAGCAAUACCAUGGGUGGCGAGUGGCGGACGGGUGAGGAAUACAUCGGAAUCUACCUUUUCGUGGGGGAUAACGUAGGGAAACUUACGCUAAUACCGCAUACGCCCUUCGGGGGAAAGCCGGGGAUCGCAAGACCUGGCGCGGAUAGAUGAGCCGAUGUCGGAUUAGCUAGUUGGUGAGGUAAUGGCUCACCAAGGCGACGAUCCGUAGCUGGUCUGAGAGGAUGAUCAGCCACACUGGAACUGAGACACGGUCCAGACUCCUACGGGAGCAGCAGUGGGAAUAUGGACAAUGGGCGCAAGCCUGAUCCAGCCAUACCGCGUGGGUGAAGAAGGCCUUGGUGUAAAGUCCCGUUUGUUGGAAAGAAAGACAAGUCGGUUAAUACCCGGUUGUUCUGACGUACCAAAGAAUAAGCACCGGCUAACUUCGUACGCCAGCAGCCGACGGUAA
This 504-nucleotide ribosomal RNA is filed under the name uncultured soil bacterium. RNAcentral's name for it is "bacterial SSU rRNA". It matches the Rfam family "Bacterial small subunit ribosomal RNA", at positions 27 to 523 of the family's 1533-position model. The record is from RNAcentral.